Molecule: transfer RNA, 92 nt
Rfam family: tRNA
About the family: Transfer RNA (tRNA) molecules are approximately 80 nucleotides in length. Their secondary structure includes four short double-helical elements and three loops (D, anti-codon, and T loops).
GGCUACCUGGCGCAAUGGUAGCGCGUUUGGCUUCGAUCGCCACACGGCUACAAUAAACCAAAAGGUUGCAAGUUCGACUCUUGCGGUGGUCA